RNAcentral lists this ribosomal RNA (500 nucleotides) under uncultured bacterium. RNAcentral's name for it is "partial 16S ribosomal RNA". It matches the Rfam family "Bacterial small subunit ribosomal RNA", at positions 30 to 523 of the family's 1533-position model. The record is from RNAcentral.
AUUGAACGCUGGCGGCAUGCCUUACACAUGCAAGUCGAACGGCAGCACGGGAGCAAUCCUGGUGGCGAGUGGCGAAUGGGUGAGUAAUAUAUCGGAACGUGCCCAGUCGUGGGGGAUAACGUAGCGAAAGCUACGCUAAUACCGCAUACGAUCUAUGGAUGAAAGCGGGGGAUCGCAAGACCUCGCGCGAUUGGAGCGGCCGAUAUCAGAUUAGGUAGUUGGUGAGGUAAAGGCUCACCAAGCCGACGAUCUGUAGCUGGUCUGAGAGGACGACCAGCCACACUGGGACUGAGACACGGCCCAGACUCCUACGGGAGGCAGCAGUGGGGAAUUUUGGACAAUGGGCGCAAGCCUGAUCCAGCAAUGCCGCGUGCAGGAUGAAGGCCUUCGGGUUGUAAACUGCUUUUGAACGGAACGAAACGGCGAGCUCUAAUACAGUUUGCUAAUGACGGUACCGUAAGAAUAAGCACCGGCUAACUACGUGCCAGCCGCCGCAGUAA